RNAcentral lists this ribosomal RNA (497 nucleotides) under uncultured bacterium. RNAcentral's name for it is "partial 16S ribosomal RNA". It matches the Rfam family "Bacterial small subunit ribosomal RNA", at positions 28 to 507 of the family's 1533-position model. The record is from RNAcentral.
GACGAACGCUGGCGGCGUGCCUAAUACAUGCAAGUUGAGCGCUGAAGGUUGGUACUUGUACCAACUGGAUGAGCAGCGAACGGGUGAGUAACGCGUGGGGAAUCUGCCUUUGAGCGGGGGACAACAUUUGGAAACGAAUGCUAAUACCGCAUAAAAACUUUAAACACAAGUUUUAAGUUUGAAAGAUGCAAUUGCAUCACUCAAAGAUGAUCCCGCGUUGUAUUAGCUAGUUGGUGAGGUAAAGGCUCACCAAGGCGAUGAUACAUAGCCGACCUGAGAGGGUGAUCGGCCACAUUGGGACUGAGACACGGCCCAAACUCCUACGGGAGGCAGCAGUAGGGAAUCUUCGGCAAUGGACGAAAGUCUGACCGAGCAACGCCGCGUGAGUGAAGAAGGUUUUCGGAUCGUAAAACUCUGUUGGUAGAGAAGAACGUUGGUGGAAGUGGAAAGCUCAUCAAGUGACGGUAACUACCCAGAAAGGGACGGCUAACUACGUG